CAGAGGGUGCAAGCGUUGUUCGGAAUUACUGGGCGUAAAGCGCGCGCAGGCGGAAGUGCAAGUCUCGAGUGAAAUCCCGCCGCUCAACGGCGGGGCUGCUUAGGAUACUGCACCUCUAGGGACCGGUAGAGGCUGGUAGAAUUGCAGGUGUAGCGGUGGAAUGCGUAGAGAUCUGCAAGAAUACCCGUGGCGAAGGCGGCCAGCUGGGCCGGAUCCGACGCUGAGGCGCGAAAGCGUGGGGAGCAAACAGGAUUAGAUACCCUGGUAGUCCACGCCGUAAACGAUGGGCACUAGGUGCCGGGGGGAGCAACCCCGUCGGUGCCGCAGCUAACGCGAUAAGUGCCCCGCCUGGGGAGUACGGCCGCAAGGCUG
RNAcentral lists this ribosomal RNA (372 nucleotides) under uncultured organism. RNAcentral's name for it is "bacterial SSU rRNA". It matches the Rfam family "Bacterial small subunit ribosomal RNA", at positions 526 to 896 of the family's 1533-position model. The record is from RNAcentral.